Molecule: ribosomal RNA, 484 nt
Filed under: uncultured bacterium
Lineage: Bacteria
Description: partial 16S ribosomal RNA
Rfam family: Bacterial small subunit ribosomal RNA
Source: RNAcentral
AUUGAACGCUGGCGGCAUGCUUUACACAUGCAAGUCGAACGGCAGCGCGGGCUUCGGCCUGGCGGCGAGUGGCGAACGGGUGAGUAAUACACCGGAACGUGCCCAGCAGUGGGGGAUAGCUCGGCGAAAGCCGGACUAAUACCGCAUACGACCAGAGGGUGAAAGCGGGGGAUCUUUGGACCUCGCGCUAUUGGCGCGGCCGAUGGCAGAUUAGCUAGUUGGUGGGGUAAAGGCCUACCAAGGCGACGAUCUGUAGCUGGCCUGAGAGGACGACCAGCCACACUGGAACUGAGACACGGCCCAGACUCCUACGGGAGGCAGCAGUGGGGAAUUUUGGGCAAUGGGCGAAAGCCUGAUCCAGCAAUGCCGCGUGUGUGAUGAAGGCCUUCGGGUUGUAAAGCACUUUUGGCGGGGACGAAAAAAACUGUGCCAAUACCACGGUUCGAUGACGGUACCCGCAGAAUAAGCACCGGCUAACUACGUG